GACGAACGCUGGCGGCGUGCUUAACACAUGCAAGUCGAACGAUGACGACCGAGCUUGCUCGGUCUGAUUAGUGGCGAACGGGUGAGUAACACGUGAGCAACCUGCCCUUCACUCUGGGAUAACCUCGGGAAAUCGGGGCUAAUACCGGAUAUGAGCUCCUGUCGCAUGGCGGGUGUUGGAAAGUUUUUCGGUGAAGGAUGGGCUCGCGGCCUAUCAGUUUGUUGGUGAGGUAGUGGCUCACCAAGGCGAUGACGGGUAGCCGGCCUGAGAGGGCGACCGGCCACACUGGGACUGAGACACGGCCCAGACUCCUACGGGAGGCAGCAGUGGGGAAUAUUGCACAAUGGGCGAAAGCCUGAUGCAGCGACGCCGCGUGAGGGAUGACGGCCUUCGGGUUGUAAACCUCUUUCAGCAGGGAAGAAGCGAAAGUGACGGUACCUGCAGAAGAAGCGCCGGCUCCCUACGUG
This 467-nucleotide ribosomal RNA is filed under the name uncultured bacterium. Its description in RNAcentral is "partial 16S ribosomal RNA". It matches the Rfam family "Bacterial small subunit ribosomal RNA", at positions 28 to 507 of the family's 1533-position model. The record is from RNAcentral.